This 1695-nucleotide long non-coding RNA is filed under the name Macaca mulatta (Rhesus monkey). RNAcentral's name for it is "lncRNA (ENSMMUG00000061997.1)". The record is from RNAcentral. Lineage: Eukaryota; Metazoa; Chordata; Mammalia; Primates; Cercopithecidae.
GCUGAGGAUUGAGGGCCGUGUCAAGCUUGAGCUCUUUCGUCAGUGCUAGAAAUGGACGUUUAGUUAUCGAAGCCUGCUGACGAGGGGAGCCAACAAGAGAGGGAUGUCGGCAUCGGGUCCGGUUUCAGCUGUGUGCAGCCUCCAAGCUUCAAGCACAAAGGAUCACUCAGUGGCUGAAGAGCAGGAGCCCCAAGCACCUCUGCUAGUUUAUUGGAGUGCUCGGUAAUCUUCCUUCAGCUCGAGCAACGGGCUCCUCAACAAGUAUCAGGUGAGUCUUCUUCAGUUUCCUGGUUGGCCACUUCGUUCUUUUGCUUCCAUUUUACCUUUUGUUCCAAAUUUUUUGUCUGAAGAGUUAUCCUUUCUGGCAGCCUUUUGUGGCUUAACUUCCACUUUUGCAGGAACAGAUUACUUCUGGCCAUCAAAUGUGUGAGGUUUUGGAGCAUCCUACAACUCAAUUGACUUCAGAAACUGUCUACUUAGAUUUGGUGCGGACCCCACAGGUUAAGUGCUCAGUCCCACAGGAAUGCUCCCCUACUUCAGAUGCCAGAGGCACGUCCGGACUGUCACCUGUGCUUCCAAGCUUCUGCCUGUAAAUCAGAAGCUGCCCCUAUCCCCUCCUCAAGUUUGCAAAUUUGCUAGAGUAGCUCACAGAACUACUAGAGUACCUGUUUACUGUAAAAGGAUCCGACAGCCAGAUGGAGAUGCACACAGCAGCACAUGGGGAAAGGGUCAAGGAGCUUCCGCGCCUUCUUCAGGUGAGCCCCCUCCACAUGUUCACCCACCUGAAAGCUCUCAGAACCCCAUUUUUUUUUACUUUUGAUGAAGGCAUCCGUACACACACGUGAUCAAGUCAUUGGCCGUUGGUGAUGCACUCAACUCUCAGCCCCUCUCUACUCCCGGGACUGGUCAGUGGGCUAAAUAUUCCAAACCUCUCAUCGCCUGGCUGGUUCCCCUGGAGACCUGCCCCCAUCCUGAGGCUAUCCAGGAGCCCCCAGUCACCAGUCACUUCAUUAAUAUACAAAAGACUUUGAUCACUCUGGGAUUCCAGGGCUUUAGGAGCUGUGUGCCAGGAAAUGGGGGCAGAGAGUAAGUAUAGUCGUUCAGUGCACAGGAUGUUUACGUCAAGGCUGGGCAUAGUGGCUCAUGUCUAUAAUCCCAACACUUUGGGAGGCCGAAGUGGGUGAAUUGCUUGAGGCCAGGAGUUCAAGACCAUCUUAGGCAACACAGUGAAACCUUGUCUCUACAAAAAAUACAAAAAUUAGUUGGGUGUGGUGGUGAGCGCCUGUAGUCCCAGCUACUCAGGAGACUGAGGUAGGAGGAUCACUUGAACCCCAAAGGCAGAGGUUGCAGUGAGCCAAGAUUGCACCACUACACUCCAGCCUGGGUAAUGGAGCAAGACCUCUCAAAAGAAAAAGAUGUUUAGUUCAACAACGGACCACAUACACCAUAGUGAUCCUGAGACAGCCAGGUAGGAGGGGGUCCCUGGAGAAACUCCAGUCAGCCUACGCACUGGGCUGGAGCCCCACAAAGUUUGCUCCCUUUGCAGUGGGGAGGAGCCUGGCCCCUCCUCUUCCUGUGUGGAACCUGGGAUUCAAGCCGCAAGCGGGAAGUGCGCUAGCCUAGGGAUUCUGGCCUAGGGAGAGUCCCGUUUCCCCUUUCCUUCCUUUUCAUCCAAUAAAACCCGUCUUACUCACC